CUCACCAAUGAUGAGGUGAAUACCGCCCCAGUCUGAUCACUGUGACUGAAAGGUACUUCUGAGCUGUG
Molecule: small nucleolar RNA, 68 nt
Filed under: Carlito syrichta (Philippine tarsier)
Lineage: Eukaryota; Metazoa; Chordata; Mammalia; Primates; Tarsiidae
Source: RNAcentral